Long non-coding RNA from Gossypium arboreum, 376 nucleotides. RefSeq lists it as uncharacterized. The record is from RefSeq and is a predicted model, not a curated record. The transcript is spliced from 2 exons. Lineage: Eukaryota; Viridiplantae; Streptophyta; Magnoliopsida; Malvales; Malvaceae.
AACAAAAGAAAAAAAAAGAGAAGAAGGGAAUAAACAGAAUAGUAGAAACGAAACAGAGAGGGAAGGAAGGAAAGAAAGAAAAGAAAGAAAAAAAAGGGAAAAUUUAAGGUUUGAAGCUUGAAGUUUAAUUUGCUAACGUUGUCUCGAGAAGUUUCAGCUAAGUAAGGAAAUAGCAAAGUUGACGAGGAAAAGCUUGGAAAAGCUCGAAAAAUACGGUUUGUAUUUCUAUAAUCCGAACUCAGUCAUUAUUUGUUAUAUUUAUAUACAUAUGACAAUUGUUAGUGUUAGAAUUAUGAUGUUUUACAAUUGAAAUGGAUUGAUUUUGGUAUGUGAUGAAUUUAUCAAAUUUAUAUUGAUUGAAAUCAUUUUGAUUGAA